AACGAACGCUGGCGGCAUGCUUAACACAUGCAAGUCGAACGAGACCGUCGGGUCUAGGUGCGCAGGUGUGCGUAACGCGGGGGAAGCUGCCCGUAGGUUCGGAAUAACUCCCCGAAAGGGGUGCUAAUACCGGAGAAUGUCUUCGGACCAAAGACUUAUGGCCAUUUGGUGGGCGCGCGUUGGCUUAGGUGGUUGGUAGGGUAAAAGCCGACCAAGGCGACGAUCCAGAGCUGGUGGGAUAGGAUGAUACGCCACGCUUGGAAUGCGACACGGCCCAGAACCCUACGGAAGGCAGCAGUGGGGAAUAUUGGAGACGGGGCGAAAGCCUGAUCAAGCAAUGCCGCGUGAGUGAUGAAGGCCGUAGGGUUGUAAAGCUCUUUUACCCGGGACGAUAAUGACAGUACCGGGAGAAUAAGCUCCGGCUAACUACGUG
This 433-nucleotide ribosomal RNA is filed under the name uncultured bacterium. RNAcentral describes it as "partial 16S ribosomal RNA". It matches the Rfam family "Bacterial small subunit ribosomal RNA", at positions 29 to 507 of the family's 1533-position model. The record is from RNAcentral.